RNAcentral lists this long non-coding RNA (965 nucleotides) under Sparus aurata (gilthead seabream). RNAcentral describes it as "lncRNA (ENSSAUG00010024572.1)". The record is from RNAcentral. Lineage: Eukaryota; Metazoa; Chordata; Actinopteri; Spariformes; Sparidae.
AUGACCCUACAAGAUAAUGACAUCCGUCAGACGGAGAGAAAGCGAGCAAGUUCGAGGAAAAGUACAGGAUUUUUGACAGUCGAGGGAUUUGCGUGGUUGCUUCUUAUUUUACAGAUGGAAGGCAAGAAGAGAAAGGAGAAGAAGAAGCGGAUUCUGGAAGGUGAUGCAUCAAAGUGCUCGAAAGUUGGUGGUGGGCCGGUGCGGUCAGAAUUUUCCCGGUGGAUUUUGGUGCCCCACUCCGCCCCUGUUGUGAAAACAAAAGUCAGGAGUUGUGGAGGUAAAUGAACAAAGUUUGGAAGAAGAUGCAAACCUCAAACCCAUCCAACACUUUAGGGAUGAACUGGACGAAUGAUCAAUUUUCUUCCUCUCUCGCUUGUUGCUGUUGUUCUGUCUCCACAAAAUAUGUGCAGAAACCGUAUCAAUAUGUAUAUUUGCUGCAGUUAAUUGUGCUGAGUAGCUGGAGCUGAAAAACCAGCACGGUAGUAAAAGACUUAAACGCAGCUAAUCGGUCCGUUAAACGUCUUUGUCGCCUCACAUGUUCACUAAAUGUAAUGUCACAUGGUGUUAAAUACGCCGACACUCUGCCAACCUCCCUCCGUAGACUUGUUUAUUUAUUUAUGUAUUUAUGUGCGCAUUUGUGUAAACAAUAUGGCAGAGAAUAAUUAUGUAUAUUAGUGACGGGAACCCCUUAAGGCUGCUAAUUAAUAUUCAGCUGAUUAUGUAGAGGAAGAAAACAUUAGGUGGGAGUCAUUAGGGUCGGGAAUUACCACAUAAAUUAUUCAAAGACGGAGGUAAUCAUAACCGAGUGUGUUCGUAACUAAACCUCCAAAACCAACACUAGGAAAAAAAAAAGGCUAAAUGAGAAUAAAACCAACAAAACAGAAUCAGUCAUCGCUUAAACGUGUAAAUUAAAGUUUUUAGAGAGUUUUUAAUUCAGGCUGUUAGAGACGAUCAGAGGCAGGAAU